RNAcentral lists this ribosomal RNA (1025 nucleotides) under Micrococcus luteus. Its description in RNAcentral is "bacterial SSU rRNA". It matches the Rfam family "Bacterial small subunit ribosomal RNA", at positions 53 to 1080 of the family's 1533-position model. Lineage: Bacteria; Bacillati; Actinomycetota; Actinomycetes; Micrococcales; Micrococcaceae. The record is from RNAcentral.
ACAAUGCAAGUCGUACGAUGAUAGCCCAGCUUGCUGGGUGGAUUAGUGGCGAACGGGUGAGUAACACGUGAGUAACCUGCCCUUAACUCUGGGAUAAGCCUGGGAAACUGGGUCUAAUACCGGAUAGGAGCGUCCACCGCAUGGUGGGUGUUGGAAAGAUUUAUCGGUUUUGGAUGGACUCGCGGCCUAUCAGCUUGUUGGUGAGGUAAUGGCUCACCAAGGCGACGACGGGUAGCCGGCCUGAGAGGGUGACCGGCCACACUGGGACUGAGACACGGCCCAGACUCCUACGGGAGGCAGCAGUGGGGAAUAUUGCACAAUGGGCGAAAGCCUGAUGCAGCGACGCCGCGUGAGGGAUGACGGCCUUCGGGUUGUAAACCUCUUUCAGUAGGGAAGAAGCGAAAGUGACGGUACCUGCAGAAGAAGCACCGGCUAACUACGUGCCAGCAGCCGCGGUAAUACGUAGGGUGCGAGCGUUAUCCGGAAUUAUUGGGCGUAAAGAGCUCGUAGGCGGUUUGUCGCGUCUGUCGUGAAAGUCCGGGGCUUAACCCCGGAUCUGCGGUGGGUACGGGCAGACUAGAGUGCAGUAGGGGAGACUGGAAUUCCUGGUGUAGCGGUGGAAUGCGCAGAUAUCAGGAGGAACACCGAUGGCGAAGGCAGGUCUCUGGGCUGUAACUGACGCUGAGGAGCGAAAGCAUGGGGAGCGAACAGGAUUAGAUACCCUGGUAGUCCAUGCCGUAAACGUUGGGCACUAGGUGUGGGGACCAUUCCACGGUUUCCGCGCCGCAGCUAACGCAUUAAGUGCCCCGCCUGGGGAGUACGGCCGCAAGGCUAAAACUCAAAGGAAUUGACGGGGGCCCGCACAAGCGGCGGAGCAUGCGGAUUAUUUCGAUGCAACGCGAGACCUUACCAAGGCUUUGACAUGUUCUCGAUCGCCUGUAGAGAUACGGUUUCCCUCUUUGGGGCGGGUUCACAGGUGGUUGCAUGGGUUGUCGUCCAGCUCGUGUUCGUGGAGUAUGUUGGGU